RNAcentral lists this transfer RNA (68 nucleotides) under Marmota monax (woodchuck). RNAcentral's name for it is "tRNA.Ala". Lineage: Eukaryota; Metazoa; Chordata; Mammalia; Rodentia; Sciuridae. The record is from RNAcentral.
GGACUGUGGCUCACAGGUAGAGCACUUGCCUCGCACAGGCAAGGCCCUGGGUUCAAUCCUCAGCACCA